GAUGAACGCUGGCGGCGUGCCUAGUACAUGCAAGUCGAGCGAACAGACGAGGAGCUUGCUCCUUUGACGUUAGCGGCGGACGGGUGAGUAACACGUAGGUAACCUACCUAUAAGACUGGGAUAACUUCGGGAAACCGGAGCUAAUACCGGAUAAUAUUUCGAACCGCAUGGUUCUAUAGUGAAAGAUGGCUUUGCUAUCACUUAUAGAUGGACCUGCGCCGUAUUAGCUAGUUGGUAAGGUAACGGCUUACCAAGGCAACGAUACGUAGCCGACCUGAGAGGGUGAUCGGCCACACUGGAACUGAGACGCGGUCCAGACUCCUACGGGAGGCAGCAGUAGGGAAUCUUCCGCAAUGGGCGAAAGCCUGACGGAGCAACGCCGCGUGAGUGAUGAAGGUCUUCGGAUCGUAAAACUCUGUUAUUAGGGAAGAACAAACGUGUAAGUAACUGUGCACGUCUUGACGGUACCUAAUCAGAAAGCCACGGUUAACUACGUG
RNAcentral lists this ribosomal RNA (497 nucleotides) under uncultured bacterium. RNAcentral's name for it is "partial 16S ribosomal RNA". It matches the Rfam family "Bacterial small subunit ribosomal RNA", at positions 28 to 507 of the family's 1533-position model. The record is from RNAcentral.